AGCUCCGUCACAGGGCGGCAAGAUGGCGGCCCGGCCCGGUCAGAGGCGUUCGGGGCGGCGUUUCCACGGUGACCCGGGUCCGUCGAGGCUUCGUCGCCAAGGCCCGGGAGGAGGAGGAAGGGCGCCGGGAGCGUGGCCUUCCAAACCGAGCCGGGGUUGGGCGUGAGGCCGCGCCUGCCUCCCUUCCCUGCCCGGACGUUUGCAGGCCAAGGCGGGGAAGGAAUCCCAGGCAGGAAAAGCCCCUUGGCCUGCGCGCCCUCCCUGCCUGCCGGAGUUUGGGACUCUUCCCAACCCGUAGGCUGGCUGCUAGGCAUUGUGGGAGUUGGAGUCCCAAGUUCACCCAGGCCUCUUCUUUUUUAUGUAUUUUUAUGUAUUUCAAUAAAAAUGAUUUAAAAAAAAUAAAUGGAGGUGAGCACCAACCUCCAGAGUGUGAGUAGAUCAAUAGGUACCGCUCCAGCGGGAAGGUAACGGCGCUCCAUGCCGUCGUGCCAGUGGCCACAUGACCCUGGAGGUGUCUACGGACAACGCCGGCGCUUCGGCUUAGAAAUUAUUUCUACUAAUAGGUUUGAGAAAGUAAAAAAGUAGACCAGAAGGAAGAAGGCGGGACCAGGAAGACACCUGUCCAUCAUGUCUCCUGUAUCAAUUUCACAAUAGAAUAAUAGAGAAUACUCAUACUAUACUCAUCAUAUACUGUAUACACAUAUAAUAUUGAUAAUAUUCCGAUGUAAUACAAUACAAUAAUAAUAAUAAUACGGUAUUAUAAUUAUAUAUUUAUAUUACAUGUAAUAUUCCUAAUAAUAUUGCAAUAUAGUCCUAUAGUACAAUAUAAUAAUAUAUAAUGCUUAUAUUGUGCUGUACUAAUAUUAUAAUGUAUAUACAUAUAAUAUUGAUAAUAAUAUUCCGAUGCAAUACAAUAUAAUAAUAAUAAUACACUUUUAUAAUUGUACAUUUUGUUGUUUCAUACUAUUAUACACAUGAUUUUGCAUUAUUAUGUUGUUGUUUUAUAUUAUUAUAUUAUUAUUUUACAUCGUUUUUAUAUUUGUUCUUACGUAUUGCGUAUUAUAAUUAUUAUUUUGCAUCAUUAUUAUAUUCUGUUAUUUCGUGUUAUUAUAAUACACAGUAUUUUGCAUUAUUAUGUUGUUAUUUUAUAUUAUUAUAUUACUAUUAUUUUGCAUCCUUAUAUUAUUUGGAUCUUAUAUUAUUUUAUAUUAUUAUUAUUGUUUUUCAUCAUUAUUAUAUUAUUUUGUUCUUAUUUCAUAUUAUAUUAUAUUAUUAUUAUAUUGCAUCGUUAUUAUAUUAUUCUGUUAUUUCAUAUGUCCGAUUUACCUACAUGAGUGAAAAUCGAUUUGGAGGAAAAAAAUUAAAUACACGUACUCCAUGGACAUGAAAGAAAACUGGCUGAAAGUAAUGCAUAGAUGGUACCUAACCCCCCAAAAGAUAGGAUUUAUGUAUAAAAAUACUAAUAAUAAAUGCUGGAAAUGUAAAUCUCAAGUGGGCUCGUACCACCCUAUGUGGUGGAGUUGCAGAAAGAUGGCAAAGUUUUGGACGAUGAUGUUAGACGAAAGUAAUAAAAUUCUAAACACAAACUUUGCGAAGACGCCUGAGCUCCUCCUGCUAGGGUUAUAUGAUGAAUUAGAUAAGGUAGAUUUAAAUACAGAUAAACUAUUUACAUUUUUUUAUUACUGCAGCAAGGAUGGUAAUCGCAAAACAAUGGAAAAGUGAGAAAGCCCCAUCGAAAGAUGCCUGGCUGACCAAAUGGACUGAAAUAAAGGAUAUGGACAAACUUACCUUCUGAAUGAGAAAGAGCAACGGAAGAGCUAUAAGAGCCACGGACUGGUCAAACUUUGAAGACUACCUUGUUACUUCAGAGAAGGGAACCAGCAAGCGCUGAAUUCAAGUCAAAGGGAAGAAAGGGAAGAAACAAAAGGUCGAAGAGACAGAAGACAGAAGAUGCUUGAAGACACUCUCGCAAGGACACCGCCCGCCCCCCAAAAAAGGUCAUUGUCAGGGUAAUGGGUGUCAGGCUAGGCAUUUCAUGUCUAUCUUUGCAAUAAAAAACAGGCUACCUGUGUGCUAGGCUUUUGCAUGAAGAACACGGUUCCCCUCGUGUGUGGCAUCGAAGGUUCCCACUCGGGAACGGACGGGUCCUCCCUUUGUUCUAGGCAGAUGAUGGGGGUUUUCCUAUACAAGCCGUAGGGGCCACAGCUUGGGGGGCAGCGGGGGGCCCGGCCCUGGCACCGCGGGGAGCAGCACACCUUACGGGCAUUUUAAAAGCUCCCUUAAACUUAGACAGUGGCUAGCAAUAAAAAUAUUAAUACCUUAACUCACCUACUAACCCUACUAACACCAUUCUAACUAGGGCAGGCUGGCCUUUUAAAUAGGACUGUGUUUUGCCUGCUGGCAAGAACCAAGCUGGGAGGGAAGGGGGCCUCCUGGCCCCCCAUAGAAGGGCUCCCCUAGAAGGACAUUCAAAAGGCCCGCAAGGUGUCCUGAGAGCAGCCCCUGGGGCCCUCAGUGUGCCCCCCACGGUGCCAGGGCUGGGCCCCCCGCUCUCCCCCAACCCAUGACCCCUGCCGCCUGUAUCUCGUCCGCCCAGGGCCAACGGACGCCCCCUCCCUCCCCGGGCGGAGCUUCGGCGCCACACACAAGGGGAGGCCAGCCGUGGCCGCCAGAACAUGGCCAACCUGGUUUUGGACUGCAAACAUAGGCAUGUAGGGACCCCCUUUUAUUUAUGUAAGGCCACCCACCCAGGGGACCUGGUUAAAGGGGAUCCUCUAUUCUUAAAGUAAGGCCUAUAGAGAUCUCCUAUCCAGAAACUAAGGCGGCUUGGCCUAUAGAGAUCCCCUUUUGUUAAACUAAGGUGGCCUGGCCUAUAGAGAUCUCUUGUUGUUAAACUAAGGUGGCCUGGCCUAUAGAGAUCUCUUGUUGUUAAACUAAGGUGGCCUGGCCUAUAGAGAUCUCCUAUUCUUUAAGGUAACGCCAGGCGAUGUGGAGAUCCCUGGUUCUUUUAACCCUUAAGGCCAACCGUGGGGAGAUCCCUGGUUCUUUUAACCCUUAAGGCCAACCGUGGGGAGAUCCCUGGUUCUUUUAACCCUUAAGGCCAACCGUGGGGAGAUCCCUGGUUCUUUUAACCCUUAAGGCCAACCGUGGGGAGAUCCCUGGUUCUUUUAACCCUUAAGGCCAACCGUGGGGAGAUCCCUGGUUCUUUUAACCCUUAAGGCCAACCGUGGGGAGAUCCCUGGUUCUUUUAACCCUUAAGGCCUGCCUGGGGAGAUAUCCUAUUCUUUUUUCAUGAAAAGUCGGGUAUAGACCUUCUCUUUUCUCUCCCGUUUCAUGUGCCUGGACUCCCGGAGGGCUCCUGCCGGACACCGUCUCCCAUCGGCCGAGAGGGAUCCUUCCUGUUUGGAAAGCAUCUGCUACACAGGUAAAAAGAAGAUUCCGGGAAGGAGAUUCCUACAGCGGAGCCCUAAAGCCAGGUGAGACGUUCCUUCCAACCUCCACGGCUGCUUUGCACACACACACAUGACACACACAUGACACACACACACACGCAUAUACAGCUGGGGGCCCUCAGGGACUCUCCCCCCAAUAGAUCGGGGACUCCCACUCCGGCAAUUGGCCAUUGGAAAUGCCUUGAAGCAGUUUGGGGCUUCCGGCCAAGCGCUCGCAAAGAGAACCCAUUCAAGGUAUACGUGGAGCCCCUUUUAUUUAUUAUUUAUUGACAGCAUUUCUAUUCCGCCCUUCUUUCUCACCCCAAAGGGGACUCAGGGCGGAUCACAUGACACAUAUAGGCAAACAUUCAGUGCCUUUUAACAUAGAACAAAGACAAACAAACAUAAGCUCCGAGCGGGUCUCGAACUCAUGACCUCCUGGUCAGAGUGAUUCAUUGCAGUUAUAAUUGCAGCUGGCUUCCUCUCCCGCCUGCGCCACAGCCCGGGCCAACCUUGAUAAAAAGGGCCUGGCACGUGGAAAACUCUAUUUGUAAGGCAAACCCUCGUUAAAGGAGGUUUGCAAUUAAUUUAAAACCAGGCUUCUGAGGGACCCGCUGCGUUUAAAGCCAAACCUAGCAGGUGGGAACCUCUCUUGUUGGAUAAAGGAGAUCCCCUCUGGUUAACGUAAGGGGAGGGACCCUCCAUUUUUAAUAGGAUGCCUGGCAGAAUCUUAACCUCAAUGCAGGCCUAUGGGGUCCAGCCUUAUUCUCAAUGACUGCAUAGCCAGGCAUGAAGGGACCCCAUAUUAUUAAUUUGAAGCCUGGUAAAAAGAGAUUUAUGUAUUUAUUUAUUUACUACAUUUAUACCCCGCCCUCUUUUCCCUUAAAGGGGACUCAGAGCGGCUUACAAGUUAUAUUUACAUACACUAUCUCAUUAGCAUAGCACAAUAUUAGCAUUAUAUAUUACUACAUUGCACUAUACCACUAUAUAGAAAUAUUGUUAGCAAUAUUACAUUUAAAAUAUAAUAUGUAAUUAAUAUUAUUGUAUCAUUGUUAGUAUUAUAUUGCUUUAUUUAUUUAUUUAUUUAUUAGAUUUAUAUGCUGCCCUUCUCACCCCGAAGGGGACUCAGAACGGCUUAAAAAUUAAAUUUACAUACAAUAUUAUAUUAUUAGCAUAGUACAAUACUGGCAAUAAAUUACUAUAUUGUACUAUAUCAAUAUAUGGUAGUAUUAUUAGUAAUAUUACAUGCAAAACAUAAUAUAUAAUUAAUAUUAUUAUAUUGUAUUAUUAGUAUAUCGUAUUACAAUAUAAUAUUAUGAAUAUAUGUAUAUACAAUAUGUUGUAAUUAUUAUAUAUUAAAUUUUAUAUAUAUAUAUAUAUACACACACAGUAGAGUCUCAUUUAUCCAACAUAAACGGGCCAGCAGAAUGUUGGAUAAGCGAAUAUGUUGGAUAAUAAGGAGGGAUUAAGGAAAAGCCUAUUAAACAUCAAAUUAGUUUAUGAUUUUACAAAUUAAGCACCAAAUCAUCAUGUUAUACAACAAAUUUGACAGAAAAAGUAGUUCAAUAUGCAGUAAUGCUAUGUAGUAAUUACUGUAUUUAUGAAUUUAGUACCAAAAAAUCAUGAUGUCUUGAAAACAUUGUCUACAAAAAUGUGUUGGAUAAUCCAGAAUGUUGGAUAAGCGAGUGUUGGAUAAGUGAGACUCUACUGUAUAUAAAAAUUAGAAUAGCAUGUUAUUAGGGGAGGAGCAUCUUAAUUAUUAGAUGUCAGUAUUAGUCAUUAGAUGUUAAUAUUAGUUAUUCAUAUUAGUAUCAAUAUUACAUUAAUAUACAAUAGAGCAGGGGUCCCCAAACUAAGGCCCGUGUGCGGGAUGCGGCCCAUCGAAGCCAUUUAUCCGGCCCCCACAGCACAACCCUUAUUAUUAUUAUUAUUAUUAUUAUUAUUAGCAUUGAGGCUGGGUGGCCAUCUGUCAGGGGUGCUUUGCUUGUGCUUUCGGUGCACAAAGGCAGAAAGGGAUUGGACUCAAUGGCCAACCCUUCCAACCCUCAUAAUUAUUAUUAUUAUUAAUUAUUAUUAUUAUUGCUUGGUGGCCAACUAUAGUCUGGCCCUGCAAUGGUCUGAAGGAUCGUGAACUGGCUCCCUGUUUAAAAGGUUUGGGGACCCCUGCAAUAGAGUAUAUUAUUAUCCUAGCACAAUGUUAUUAUGUUAUAUAGUAGUAUGUAUGUUCAUAUUAUUUAUUCAUAUUAGUAUCAAUAUGACAUUAAUAUACAAUAGAGUCUAUUAUUAUCCUAGCACAAUAUUCAUAUGUUCUAUAGUAGUAUGUUGUUGCUAGGGGGAGGGGCCCCCCACUGAUGGGGAGGGCCCCCCCACUGAGAUCCCCUGUCAUUAAUGUUAGACCAGGCAUUUAACGCCUACCUUUGCAUUCAAGAGCAGGCUCCUAGGCCUUUGCAUUCAAGAGCAGUGCGCUAGGCCUUUGCGCAAGGAACACCACCCACGGCUCCCCUUGUGCGUGGCGUUGAGGCCCCACUCGGUGACGGACAGGUCCUCCCUUUGCCCUGGGCAGGUCGUGGGGGGGGGGUCUCCCUGGAUGUGCAGGGGGUCACGGCUGGGGGGAGAGCGGGGGCCCGGCCUUGGCACCCCCCUGGGGACCCGAGGGGCCGCUCUCAGCCCACGUCACGGGCAUUUUAAAACGUCCCCGGGAUGUAGUAGCUCAGAUUAAUCCCUGCACUAACCGCUAACCCUACUAACCCAGUUCUAACCCGGGCAGGCUAGGCUUUUAAAUAGGACUGUUUUUGCCUGUUGGCAAGAACCAAGUGGGAGGGGGCCUCCGGGCCUCCCGUGGGAAGAAGGGCUCCGGCCCCCCCGGCCCCCCGGCCCCUGCCCUGUGCUGGGAGCCCCCCGCCCGGGCCCCCAGAGGCCUCCCUGUGGUACCGGGCUUGGCCCCCAUCCGCUCUGCCCCCAUCCGACGGCCUAGGAAAGCCCCCCACCAUCCGCCCAGGGCCAACGGACGGCCCUCCCUCCCUCCCAGGGGCAGCCGCGUUCCUCACGCAAAGGUCUGGCGCACGGGAGCCUGUUUCUGAAUGCAAACGUGGGGCCCAGGACCCCCCCCCCUUGUCUCCGUGCAGGGCCACCCCCCCAGGGACCCCCACAAAUGCCUGGUGACAGGGGAUCCUCUCCUCUUAGCAGGAGGAAAAGCCACGUGCGUAAAGCGGUGCCUUUGCUCCCGUCGUUCCCAAGAGCCCCCCAAAAGCGAGAUGCUCCCCUGGGUUCAGCCCUCCUGACCCCUGUCUUCUCCCUUGUUCCAUGUCUCCAAAAUCCCCGAGGGAGGGGCUCCUCCUGGACAAGAGCCAAGGACGGAAGGACGGACGGACGGACGGACGGAGAUCCCAGAGAGAGAGCGGAGAGCAGGACGCCUUGCCUUUUCGGAGCUGCUGAGGUCGACCCCUUUCCAACGAGGUCAGCUUUCAAGAAGAAAACUCUUCCCAAAAAAGUGUGUUCUGGUUAUUAUUCAAAGGCACAACGUUCAAUAUUUGACAGCAUUAAACAUCUAGAUUACAGGACAGUUUAUGUUACUGCAUUUUAUACACCUGACCUUGUUUUUACAAAUAAAGUACCUGUAUAAUUUUUGCCUCUCUAUAUAUAUAUUGUACUAUGCUCAGACUCAUUGUUCUGAUAUGCUGUUAUAUGGUUUAAUUGUUUAUAUUGUUUAUAUUUUUAAUGUAUGACUGUUUAUUACAUGUGACAUUGGGCUUGUUUCCCAUGUGAGCCACCCCGAGUCCUCCUGGGGGAGAUGGGAGCGGGAAUAUAAAAAUAAAGUAUUAUUUUGUAUUAUUAUUAUUAUUUAUAAUAUUUAUUAUAUAUAAUUUUCUUGCACCCCAAGUACCUCUGGCAAGUGCCAAAGAGUAUUUAACUCUGCCUACAUGGCACUAAAGUGUAUUUAUAUGUUGAUUGUUCCUAUUGAUUUUAUGUUAUGUUUUUUUUUGCUUUGUAUAAUAAGGCAUUGAAUUUUUGCCUUAAUAAUAAUAGUUUUAUGAAUGUUUUAAUGUCACUGAAUUUUGAAUUGAAUUGAAAUGUCAUUGUAAUUGUUUAUAUGUGUAUUUUCUAUUUGUAAGCCACCCUGAGUCUCCCCUUAUUGGGUGAGAAGGUUUGGGAAGAAAUACUGUCAUAAAUAAAUAAAUAAAUAUUCUGUGUC
This is a long non-coding RNA of Anolis carolinensis (green anole), 7623 nucleotides long. RefSeq lists it as uncharacterized. The transcript has 2 exons. NCBI's taxonomy places the organism in Eukaryota, Metazoa, Chordata, Lepidosauria, Squamata, Anolidae. The record is from RefSeq and is a predicted model, not a curated record.